GAUGAACGCUGGCGGCGUGCUUAACACAUGCAAGUCGAACGGACGGAUUGGAGCUUGCUCCAUGAAGUUAGUGGCGGACGGGUGAGUAACGCGUGGGUAACCUACCUCGUACAGGGGGAUAACAACAAGAAAUUGUUGCUAAUACCGCAUAACAUGAAAGUUCCGCAUGGAACAUUCAUCAAAGAUUUAUCGGUACGAGAUGGACCCGCGUUAGAUUAGCUAGUUGGUGAGAUAACAGCUCACCAAGGCGACGAUCUAUAGCCGGCCUGAGAGGGUGAACGGCCACACUGGGACUGAGACACGGCCCAGACUCCUACGGGAGGCAGCAGUGGGGAAUAUUGCACAAUGGGCGCAAGCCUGAUGCAGCGACGCCGCGUGAAGGAUGAAGGUUUUCGGAUCGUAAACUUCUAUCAGCAGGGAGGAACCAAAUGACGGUACCUGACUAAGAAGCCCCGGCUAACUACGUGCCAGCCGCCGCCGUAACAC
RNAcentral lists this ribosomal RNA (486 nucleotides) under uncultured bacterium. RNAcentral's name for it is "bacterial SSU rRNA". It matches the Rfam family "Bacterial small subunit ribosomal RNA", at positions 28 to 526 of the family's 1533-position model. The record is from RNAcentral.